Molecule: ribosomal RNA, 597 nt
Filed under: Triticum aestivum (bread wheat)
Lineage: Eukaryota; Viridiplantae; Streptophyta; Magnoliopsida; Poales; Poaceae
Description: partial small subunit ribosomal RNA
Source: RNAcentral
CCCACAAAACCUACGGGAGUCCCCUCCGCCGCCGCCCCAGCCGCUCCUUCCCCCCACCCCCGCCGCCCGCUCAAGCCCCACCGCCCGCCGGCGCCGACGCCGCGACCCACCCGCUCCGGCAAGAUGAACAAGGAGAGGCUCAUGAAGAUGGCCGGCGCCGUCCGCACCGGCGGCAAGGGCACCGUGCGCCGGAAGAAGAAGGCGGUGCACAAGACGGCGACCACGGACGACAAGCGGCUGCAGAGCACGCUCAAGAGGGUGGGCGUCAACACCAUCCCGGCCAUCGAGGAGGUCAACAUCUUCAAGGACGACCUCGUCAUCCAGUUCCUCAACCCCAAAGUGCAAGCGUCCAUCGCCGCAAACACAUGGGUGGUCAGUGGGACUCCCCAGACCAAGAAGCUACAAGAUGUUCUUCCUUCGAUCAUCAACCAAUUGGGCCCUGACAACAUGGAGCACCUGAAGAGGAUUGCUGAGGAGAUGCAGAAGCAGGUGGCUGCUGCGGGCGCCAUCCAGCCCAAGGAGGAGAACGACGACGACGUUCCGGAGCUCGUUCCUGGAGAGACCUUUGAGGAGGUAGCCCAGGAGACAAAAGCCUGA